GCGGGGCUAUCGGUAGACACACAAGACUUAAAAUCUUGCGACCGUAAGGUCGUGCCAGUUCAAGUCUGGCUGGGAGCACCA
RNAcentral lists this transfer RNA (81 nucleotides) under Chitinophagaceae bacterium. RNAcentral describes it as "tRNA-Leu". Lineage: Bacteria; Pseudomonadati; Bacteroidota; Chitinophagia; Chitinophagales; Chitinophagaceae. The record is from RNAcentral.